RNAcentral lists this ribosomal RNA (492 nucleotides) under uncultured bacterium. RNAcentral describes it as "partial 16S ribosomal RNA". It matches the Rfam family "Bacterial small subunit ribosomal RNA", at positions 29 to 507 of the family's 1533-position model. The record is from RNAcentral.
AGUGAACGCUGGCGGUAUGCCUAACACAUGCAAGUCGAACGGCAGCACAGUAAGAGCUUGCUCUUACGGGUGUCGAGUGGCGGACGGUGGAGGAAGACAUCGGAAUCUACUUUUUCGGGGGGGAUAACGUAGGGAAACGUACGCUGAUACCGCAUACAACCUACGGGUGAAAGCAGGGGAUCGUCGGACCUUGCGCGAGUGAAUGAGCCGAUGUCGGAUUAGCUCGUUGGCGGGGUAAAGGCCCACCAAGGCGACAAUCCGUAGCUGGUAUGAGAGGAUGAUUCGCCACACUGGCACUGAGACACGGUCCAGACUCCUAGGGGAGGACGCAGUGGGGAAUAUUGGAGAAGGGGGGAAAGCGUGAUACAGCCAUACCGCGGGGGUGAAGAAGGACUUCGGGUUGUAAAGCCAUUUUGUUGGGAAAGAAAAGAAGCAGGUUAAUACCCCGCUGUUAUGACGGUACCCAAAGAAUAAGCACCGGCUAACUCCGUG